Molecule: ribosomal RNA, 492 nt
Filed under: uncultured bacterium
Lineage: Bacteria
Description: partial 16S ribosomal RNA
Rfam family: Bacterial small subunit ribosomal RNA
Source: RNAcentral
AGUGAACGCUGGCGGUAGGCCUAACACAUGCAAGUCGAACGGCAGCACAGUAAGAGCUUGCUCUUACGGGUGGCGAGUGGCGGACGGGUGAGGAAUACAUCGGAAUCUACUUUUUCGUGGGGGAUAACGUAGGGAAACUUACGCUAAUACCGCAUACGACCUACGGGUGAAAGCAGGGGAUCUUCGGACCUUGCGCGAUUGAAUGAGCCGAUGUCGGAUUAGCUAGUUGGCGGGGUAAAGGCCCACCAAGGCGACGAUCCGUAGCUGGUCUGAGAGGAUGAGAGGCAACAUGGGAAGGGAGCAACGGUCCAGCCUCCUGCGGGGGGCAGAGGGGGGGAAUUUGGGAGAAUGGGCGAAAGCCGGACCGAGCAACCCGGGGGGGGGGAAGAAGGUCUUGGGUUGGUAAACCUUUUUUGUGGGAAAAAAAAAGAGGGGUAUGAAACCCCGCUUGUCCUGACGGUACCAAAAAAAAAAGCCCCGGCUAACUUCGUG